UCCCUCUUGCGUCGUGCCUAAUACAUGCACGUCGAGCGAACGGACGAGAAGCUUGCUUUUCUGAUGUUAGCGGCGGACGGGUGAGUAACACGUGGAUAACCUACCUAUAAGACUGGGAUAACUUCGGGAAACCGGAGCUAAUACCGGAUAAUAUUUUGAACCGCAUGGUUCAAAAGUGAAAGACGGUCUUGCUGUCACUUAUAGAUGGAUCCGCGCUGCAUUAGCUAGUUGGUAAGGUAACGGCUUACCAAGGCAACGAUGCAUAGCCGACCUGAGAGGGUGAUCGGCCACACUGGAACUGAGACACGGUCCAGACUCCUACGGGAGGCAGCAGUAGGGAAUCUUCCGCAAUGGGCGAAAGCCUGACGGAGCAACGCCGCGUGAGUGAUGAAGGUCUUCGGAUCGUAAAACUCUGUUAUUAGGGAAGAACAUAUGUGUAAGUAACUGUGCACAUCUUGACGGUACCUAAUCAGAAAGCCACGGCUAACUACGUG
Molecule: ribosomal RNA, 494 nt
Filed under: uncultured bacterium
Lineage: Bacteria
Description: partial 16S ribosomal RNA
Rfam family: Bacterial small subunit ribosomal RNA
Source: RNAcentral